GCAUUGUUAGUUCAGUGGUAGAAUUCUUGCCUUCCAUGUAGGAGACCAGGAUUUGAUUCCUGGCCAAUGUA
This 71-nucleotide transfer RNA is filed under the name Loxodonta africana (African savanna elephant). It matches the Rfam family "tRNA". Rfam says of the family: Transfer RNA (tRNA) molecules are approximately 80 nucleotides in length. The record is from Rfam by way of RNAcentral. Lineage: Eukaryota; Metazoa; Chordata; Mammalia; Proboscidea; Elephantidae.